Molecule: microRNA precursor, 196 nt
Filed under: Oryza sativa Indica Group (long-grained rice)
Lineage: Eukaryota; Viridiplantae; Streptophyta; Magnoliopsida; Poales; Poaceae
Description: MIR812 microRNA precursor family
Rfam family: MIR812 microRNA precursor family
Source: Rfam by way of RNAcentral
GUUCACUGCUCCCUCCGUCCCAUUUUCACGCUUAACUUUAAUCGUCUGUUUUUUUAUAAUUUAUAUCUUUAUUGUUAUGAGAUGAUAAAACAUAAAUAGUAUUUUAUGUGUGACUUAUAUUUUUAAUUUUUUUAAAAAAAAAUUGAAUAAGAUGAAUGGUUAAAGUCGUACGCGGAAAAUUAUGGCUGUAUUCAAA